CGUACAGUCAGUGAAUCAUCGAAUCUUUGAACGCAACACGCACUUUCUAUGCACUUGUGGUAUAGGAAGUAUAUUUGUUUGAGUGUCACAUAUGAUAACAAUCGACCUUUUUGUUGUUCAAUCAACAAGAGAGAUCGGCAUUUGACAGUUUUCAUAAGAAAUCUGUUUAAAUACAGCGUACUGUUGCUUACUGAUUGCCAGUCCACAAUUGAAUUGUACAGUUAAUGUGUAAUAAUAUUUGCUGUUCAUAUAUGGAUUGACUAUUCAUCAGACAGUAUCUAUCUUGUAAUGGAUCUUAACAGAUCGUUAAAAAGAAUUUUUCAUGACAUCAAAUCAAGUAAGGUUACCCGCUGAAUUUAAGCAUAUCAAUAAGCGGAGG
RNAcentral lists this ribosomal RNA (379 nucleotides) under uncultured Entomophthoromycota. RNAcentral's name for it is "eukaryotic LSU rRNA". The stretch from base 324 to 379 matches the Rfam family "Eukaryotic large subunit ribosomal RNA", at positions 1 to 56 of the family's 3401-position model. Lineage: Eukaryota; Fungi; Entomophthoromycota. The record is from RNAcentral.